UCGGGAAUUUUGCACAAUGGCCGAAAGGCUGAUGCAGCAACGCCGCGUGAGCGAAGAAGGCCUUCGGGUUGUAAAGCUCUGUUGCCUGCGAAGAAGGGCCCUGUCAGGAAAUGGGCGGGGUUUGACGGUAGCAGGCGAGGAAGCCCCGGCAAACUACGUGCCAGCAGCCGCGGUAAUACGUAGGGGGCGAGCGUUGUCCGGAAUUACUGGGCGUAAAGGGCGUGUAGGCGGCCUGUUAAGUCAGGGGUGAAAGACCGGGGCUCAACCCCGGGGGUGCCUCUGAAACUGGCGGGCUUGAGUGCUCUAGAGGGCAGUGGAAUUCCCGGUGUAGCAGUGAAAUGCGUAGAGAUCGGGAGGAACACCAGUGGCGAAGGCGGCUGCCUGGGGAGGCACUGACGCUGAGGCGCGAAAGCUAGGGGAGCAAACAGG
Molecule: ribosomal RNA, 429 nt
Filed under: bacterium
Lineage: Bacteria
Description: partial 16S ribosomal RNA
Rfam family: Bacterial small subunit ribosomal RNA
Source: RNAcentral